GGAGGGAUCAUUACAGAGUUGCAAAACUCCCUAAACCAUUGUGAACCUACCUUCUACCGUUGCUUCGGCGGGCGGGCCUAGCGCCCCCCCGGCCCCCCGCGGGCGCCCGCCGGAGGAUAACCAAACUCUUGUCAUCAGUGGCCUCUCUGAGUAUUCUUUACUGAAUAAGUCAAAACUUUCAACAACGGAUCUCUUGGUUCUGGCAUCGAUGAAGAACGCAGCGAAAUGCGAUAAGUAAUGUGAAUUGCAGAAUUCAGUGAAUCAUCGAAUCUUUGAACGCACAUUGCGCCCGCCAGUAUUCUGGCGGGCAUGCCUGUCCGAGCGUCAUUUCAACCAUCAAGCCCCCGGGCUUGUGUUGGGGACCUGCGGCUGCCCGCAGGCCCUGAAAACCAGUGGCGGGCUCGCUAGUCACACCGAGCGUAGUAGCAUACAUCUCGCUCAGGGCGUGCUGCGGGUUCCGGCCGUUAAACAGCCUCUGUGCUACACCCAAGGUUGACCUCGGAUCAGGUAGGAAGACCCGCUGAACUUAAGCAUAUCAAUAAGCGGAGGAAAAGAAACCAACAGGGAUUGCCCUAGUAACGGCGAGUGAAGCGGCAACAGCUCAAAUUUGAAAUCUGGCUUCGGCCCGAGUUGUAAUUUGCAGAGGAAGCUUUAGGCGCGGCACCUCCUGAGUCCCCUGGAACGGGGCGCCACAGAGGGUGAGAGCCCCGUAUAGUUGGAUGCCUAGCCUGUGUAAAGCUCCUUCGACGAGUCGAGUAGUUUGGGAAUGCUGCUCAAAAUGGGAGGUAAAUUUCUUCUAAAGCUAAAUACCGGCCAGAGACCGAUAGCGCACAAGUAGAGUGAUCGAAAGAUGAAAAGCACUUUGAAAAGAGGGUUAAAUAGCACGUGAAAUUGUUGAAAGGGAAGCGCUUGUGACCAGACUUGCGCCGGGCUGAUCAUCCGGUGUUCUCACCGGUGCACUCUGCCCGGCUCAGGCCAGCAUCGGUUCUCGCGGGGGGAUAAAGGCCCUGGGAACGUAGCUCCUCCGGGAGUGUUAUAGCCCGGGGCGCAAUGCCCUCGCGGGGACCGAGGUUCGCGCUCUGCAAGGAUGCUGGCGUAAUGGUCACCAGCGACCCGUCUUGAAACACGGACCAAGGAGUCAAGGUUUUGCGCGAGUGUUUGGGUGUAAAACCCGCACGCGUAAUGAAAGUGAACGUAGGUGAGAGCUUCGGCGCAUCAUCGACCGAUCCUGAUGUUCUCGGAUGGAUUUGAGUAGGAGCGUUAAGCCUUGGACCCGAAAGAUGGUGAACUAUGCUUGGAUAGGGUGAAGCCAGAGGAAACUCUGGUGGAGGCUCGCAGCGGUUCUGACGUGCAAAUCGAUCGUCAAAUCUGAGCAUGGGGGCGAAAGACUAAUCGAACCAUCUAGUAGCUGGUUACCGC
Molecule: unclassified non-coding RNA, 1419 nt
Filed under: uncultured Sordariales
Lineage: Eukaryota; Fungi; Ascomycota; Sordariomycetes; Sordariales
Description: sequence contains 18S rRNA gene, ITS1, 5.8S rRNA gene, ITS2, 28S rRNA gene
Rfam family: Eukaryotic large subunit ribosomal RNA (bases 494-1419)
Source: RNAcentral